GAUGAACGCUGGCGGCGUGCCUAAUACAUGCAAGUCGAGCGAACAGACGAGGAGCUUGCUCCUCUGACGUUAGCGGCGGACGGGUGAGUAACACGUGGAUAACCUACCUAUAAGACUGGGAUAACUUCGGGAAACCGGAGCUAAUACCGGAUAAUAUAUUGAACCGCAUGGUUCAAUAGUGAAAGACGGUUUUGCUGUCACUUAUAGAUGGAUCCGCGCCGCAUUAGCUAGUUGGUAAGGUAACGGCUUACCAAGGCGACGAUGCGUAGCCGACCUGAGAGGGUGAUCGGCCACACUGGAACUGAGACACGGUGCAGACUCCUACGGGAGGCAGCAGUAGGGAAUCUUCCGCAAUGGGCGAAAGCCUGACGGAGCAACGCCGCGUGAGUGAUGAAGGUCUUCGGAUCGUAAAACUCUGUUAUUAGGGAAGAACAAAUGUGUAAGUAACUAUGCACGUCUUGACGGUACCUAAUCAGAAAGCCACGGCUAACUACGUG
RNAcentral lists this ribosomal RNA (497 nucleotides) under uncultured bacterium. Its description in RNAcentral is "partial 16S ribosomal RNA". It matches the Rfam family "Bacterial small subunit ribosomal RNA", at positions 28 to 507 of the family's 1533-position model. The record is from RNAcentral.